Molecule: ribosomal RNA, 2879 nt
Filed under: Salmonella enterica subsp. enterica serovar Infantis str. CVM N32599PS
Lineage: Bacteria; Pseudomonadati; Pseudomonadota; Gammaproteobacteria; Enterobacterales; Enterobacteriaceae
Description: bacterial LSU rRNA
Rfam family: Bacterial large subunit ribosomal RNA
Source: RNAcentral
GGGUUGUGAGGUUAAGCGACUAAGCGUACACGGUGGAUGCCCUGGCAGUCAGAGGCGAUGAAGGGCGUGCUAAUCUGCGAUAAGCGCCGGUAAGGUGAUAUGAACCGUUAUAACCGGCGAUACCCGAAUGGGGAAACCCAGUGUGACUCGUCACACUAUCAUUAACUGAAUCCAUAGGUUAAUGAGGCGAACCGGGGGAACUGAAACAUCUAAGUACCCCGAGGAAAAGAAAUCAACCGAGAUUCCCCCAGUAGCGGCGAGCGAACGGGGAGGAGCCCAGAGCCUGAAUCAGCAUGUGUGUUAGUGGAAGCGUCUGGAAAGGCGCGCGAUACAGGGUGACAGCCCCGUACACAAAAGCGCAUGUGCUGUGAGCUCGAUGAGUAGGGCGGGACACGUGGUAUCCUGUCUGAAUAUGGGGGGACCAUCCUCCAAGGCUAAAUACUCCUGACUGACCGAUAGUGAACCAGUACCGUGAGGGAAAGGCGAAAAGAACCCCGGCGAGGGGAGUGAAAAAGAACCUGAAACCGUGUACGUACAAGCAGUGGGAGCNNGUGACUGCGUACCUUUUGUAUAAUGGGUCAGCGACUUAUAUUCUGUAGCAAGGUUAACCGAAUAGGGGAGCCGGAGGGAAACCGAGUCUUAAUUGGGCGUUAAGUUGCAGGGUAUAGACCCGAAACCCGGUGAUCUAGCCAUGGGCAGGUUGAAGGUUGGGUAACACUAACUGGAGGACCGAACCGACUAAUGUUGAAAAAUUAGCGGAUGACCUGUGGCUGGGGGUGAAAGGCCAAUCAAACCGGGAGAUAGCUGGUUCUCCCCGAAAGCUAUUUAGGUAGCGCCUCGUGAAUUCAUCUCCGGGGGUAGAGCACUGUUUCGGCUAGGGGGCCAUCCCGGCUUACCAACCCGAUGCAAACUGCGAAUACCGGAGAAUGUUAUCACGGGAGACACACGGCGGGUGCUAACGUCCGUCGUGAAGAGGGAAACAACCCAGACCGCCAGCUAAGGUCCCAAAGUCAUGGUUAAGUGGGAAACGAUGUGGGAAGGCCCAGACAGCCAGGAUGUUGGCUUAGAAGCAGCCAUCAUUUAAAGAAAGCGUAAUAGCUCACUGGUCGAGUCGGCCUGCGCGGAAGAUGUAACGGGGCUAAACCAUGCACCGAAGCUGCGGCAGCGANNGUUGGGUAGGGGAGCGUUCUGUAAGCCUGUGAAGGUGUGUCGUGAGGCAUGCUGGAGGUAUCAGAAGUGCGAAUGCUGACAUAAGUAACGAUAAAGCGGGUGAAAAGCCCGCUCGCCGGAAGACCAAGGGUUCCUGUCCAACGUUAAUCGGGGCAGGGUGAGUCGACCCCUAAGGCGAGGCCGAAAGGCGUAGUCGAUGGGAAACGGGUUAAUAUUCCCGUACUUGGUGUUACUGCGAAGGGGGGACGGAGAAGGCUAUGUUGGCCGGGCGACGGUUGUCCCGGUUUAAGCGUGUAGGUGUGUGUUCCAGGUAAAUCCGGUUCACUUUAACACUGAGGCGUGAUGACGAGGCACUACGGUGCUGAAGCAACAAAUGCCCUGCUUCCAGGAAAAGCCUCUAAGCAUCAGGUAACAUCAAAUCGUACCCCAAACCGACACAGGUGGUCAGGUAGAGAAUACCAAGGCGCUUGAGAGAACUCGGGUGAAGGAACUAGGCAAAAUGGUGCCGUAACUUCGGGAGAAGGCACGCUGACACGUAGGUGAAGUGAUUUACUCAUGGAGCUGAAGUCAGUCGAAGAUACCAGCUGGCUGCAACUGUUUAUUAAAAACACAGCACUGUGCAAACACGAAAGUGGACGUAUACGGUGUGACGCCUGCCCGGUGCCGGAAGGUUAAUUGAUGGGGUCAGCGCAAGCGAAGCUCCUGAUCGAAGCCCCGGUAAACGGCGGCCGUAACUAUAACGGUCCUAAGGUAGCGAAAUUCCUUGUCGGGUAAGUUCCGACCUGCACGAAUGGCGUAAUGAUGGCCAGGCUGUCUCCACCCGAGACUCAGUGAAAUUGAACUCGCUGUGAAGAUGCAGUGUACCCGCGGCAAGACGGAAAGACCCCGUGAACCUUUACUAUAGCUUGACACUGAACAUUGAGCCUUGAUGUGUAGGAUAGGUGGGAGGCUUUGAAGCGUGGACGCCAGUCUGCGUGGAGCCGACCUUGAAAUACCACCCUUUAAUGUUUGAUGUUCUAACGUGGACCCGUAAUCCGGGUUGCGGACAGUGUCUGGUGGGUAGUUUGACUGGGGCGGUCUCCUCCUAAAGAGUAACGGAGGAGCACGAAGGUUGGCUAAUCCUGGUCGGACAUCAGGAGGUUAGUGCAAUGGCAUAAGCCAGCUUGACUGCGAGCGUGACGGCGCGAGCAGGUGCGAAAGCAGGUCAUAGUGAUCCGGUGGUUCUGAAUGGAAGGGCCAUCGCUCAACGGAUAAAAGGUACUCCGGGGAUAACAGGCUGAUACCGCCCAAGAGUUCAUAUCGACGGCGGUGUUUGGCACCUCGAUGUCGGCUCAUCACAUCCUGGGGCUGAAGUAGGUCCCAAGGGUAUGGCUGUUCGCCAUUUAAAGUGGUACGCGAGCUGGGUUUAGAACGUCGUGAGACAGUUCGGUCCCUAUCUGCCGUGGGCGCUGGAGAACUGAGGGGGGCUGCUCCUAGUACGAGAGGACCGGAGUGGACGCAUCACUGGUGUUCGGGUUGUCAUGCCAAUGGCACUGCCCGGUAGCUAAAUGCGGAAGAGAUAAGUGCUGAAAGCAUCUAAGCACGAAACUUGCCCCGAGAUGAGUUCUCCCUGAGACUUAGAGUCUCCUGAAGGAACGUUGAAGACGACGACGUUGAUAGGCCGGGUGUGUAAGCGCAGCGAUGCGUUGAGCUAACCGGUACUAAUGAAC